UGGUGGAGUGAUUUGUCUGGUUGAUUCCGAUAACGAACGAGACCCGCGCUGAUAAAUAGGAUGCAUGGUUUCACGACCGUGUAAGCCUUCUUACCAGGACAACUCUUGUUUAAAGAGGGAAGCGGCGGGCAAUAACA
RNAcentral lists this ribosomal RNA (137 nucleotides) under uncultured eukaryote. Its description in RNAcentral is "partial 18S ribosomal RNA". It matches the Rfam family "Eukaryotic small subunit ribosomal RNA", at positions 1299 to 1458 of the family's 1831-position model. The record is from RNAcentral.